GACGCCACCAUUUGUGGGGCCACACCCCAGUAGCAUUACCCCCACCUCCCUUCUCCGAAGGUUUUAGCCGUCGGUGAUCGGCCAAUAAUCAUGAAAAUAAAAUAAAGGGAUCGGAUCCACUAUUUUUGGAUCUUUCCCAUGUUUCUCCGGUCAGCAAUCCUUGCCGCCGGCCGUCCCUUGCCCAUUGUCGUCGGCCACCCACUACGGCCGGCCGCAACCGG
This 221-nucleotide long non-coding RNA is filed under the name Elaeis guineensis (African oil palm). Its description in RNAcentral is "long non-coding RNA (EGUI_LNC002262)". The record is from RNAcentral. Lineage: Eukaryota; Viridiplantae; Streptophyta; Magnoliopsida; Arecales; Arecaceae.